UUAGCCCUAAUUUGUCCAUCUCUCAUCUCCGCCUCCAUCUUCUCUCAUCUCUACCCUUCCAUUCACUUCCAUCUUUCCCAUUGGUGAGCUCGGUGGUGCAAGAGGUCACUGGGCAUCGAUUCUAGGACGUCAACCAGGCAAUCGUUGACUUUGUCAUCAACAUCCUCGUCGACGAGGACUUCGAUUUCGGUGGAGGGAGCCUUUGAAGCUCUAGGCGAACUCCUUUUCGACUCUCGUUUAAGAUUUUUCCAUCUUUUAAUAUAUGUAUUCUGUGUUUUGAAUCUCAAUCUGUUUAUGAUUGUUAAUGGACAAAUGGAUGAGCCUGUGGUGGAAGAUGUGAGGGAGGAUGAGGAACACGAAGAUGAUGCUGAGGACUCCGAUGAUGAAGACAAUGAUAAGAAAGAUGGUAUCGCAGAUUUUGGUAUACAAGUAUGAAGAGCGAGCAUAUCCAUCAUCGCAAAAUAGGUUGGUUUGAAGAUGUAGUCCUUGCUUGUAAGUGUGGUGACAUAGUCGUGCAUUGAAGCCUUCUAUCUCCAAAUGUUGGGUUUAUGGAUAAUUUCUUAUUGUAGUGGAUGUAUAAUUCAAGUGUACUCAUUUAUCAAAAGAAAUUUCUUAUUUAAUGUUGUAUCACAUUUAAUGUUUUAGUGUA
Molecule: long non-coding RNA, 649 nt
Organism: Olea europaea var. sylvestris
Lineage: Eukaryota; Viridiplantae; Streptophyta; Magnoliopsida; Lamiales; Oleaceae
Exons: 3
Source: RefSeq, a predicted model, not a curated record